GGCUGGUUGGCGAAAUGGUAUCGCGUUGCUUUCCGGUGGCAAAGAUUGCGGGUUCGAGUCCCGUGCUGGUCG
This 72-nucleotide transfer RNA is filed under the name Poronia punctata. Its description in RNAcentral is "tRNA-Arg". It matches the Rfam family "tRNA". Rfam says of the family: Transfer RNA (tRNA) molecules are approximately 80 nucleotides in length. Their secondary structure includes four short double-helical elements and three loops (D, anti-codon, and T loops). RNAcentral also lists the same sequence under 2 other names. The record is from RNAcentral. Lineage: Eukaryota; Fungi; Ascomycota; Sordariomycetes; Xylariales; Xylariaceae.